This 1445-nucleotide long non-coding RNA is filed under the name Heterocephalus glaber (naked mole-rat). RNAcentral describes it as "lncRNA (ENSHGLG00000035131.1)". The record is from RNAcentral. Lineage: Eukaryota; Metazoa; Chordata; Mammalia; Rodentia; Bathyergidae.
AUGAUGUUAAGGUUUUGAUGAAAGCGCACGUGGGCGGGUCGGGGCGGGUCUGGUUUUGUGUGGUUCUUUGCAUUUUUCCUUGUCACGCACCGCGUAGGACUCAGCAGGGGCUAGGCCGUGAACGCGGCUCUCUGCUCUUACUGUGGCGCCUGAAAGACCUGGGAGGUUCUCCCGGGCGGUCUUUGUGGCCUCCCUGUUCCCCACGAGGAGGGCUGUGGCUGCGAUCCCUCCUCCUCUCUAAGGGUCGUCUGCGCGCGCUGCCAACCGGGGUCAGCAGGGGGCGCGGCCGAGCCCAAGCCCAGAAGGGGAUCGAACUCCGGUCCUUGCGCUGGAAACCACUGAGGGUCUUGCUGGCCUGGAAAGUGAAACCCUUCCUCCUCAGCCUCCUGCGCAGCCCAGCUAUGGAAUUCCAAGACAUAAUUCCAUUUUGUCCUCCGCUCCCAACUGAGACCUCAAUGAUCCGGUGAUGCUGUGAUUCUCCAGGACAGGAAACAUCCUGGGAGCUGCAAACAUCCUGGGAGAACAAACAUCUACUCAGUUCCUCCUUGAUCUUGGACUGUUACACCUUGUUUACCCAGGAUGUACUGAACUCUCUGCGAGUCAUUUGUUACAUUUGUUUCUCCCGAUGUACUGAGUACUGAAUAAAAGGUGCAGUAAGCUGGGGGCUUUCGUCUUUGCCCCCCAGAGCAGCACUGAUCAGACCCAAAGCUCAGCUUCUUCUCAGUCUCAUUUUUCUACCUUUUCUGUAAUUUGCCUUGUGCUGCUGUGGCUCGCAGGAGACUAGGACUUAACUGCAGAGGUUCUGGUAACGUCCCCUUUCCCUGUUCUCUACAACAGUGCUAUCACAUUAUCCUCUCAAUUGUAGGAUUACAGGUUGUGGCAUUUUAUCUAUAGUUUCAAGUGUUAUACAACGAAUCUGUAUUACUUGUAAAGCAAAACUAUAAGUGUGAAAAAGAAAAUCAUCUCUAGCUUUUUCAAAAGCAGAUUAUUUUGGCAUUUCCCCAGAACGGCUGUGUCUCAGCAUGGCACUGUGGGCCAUGAAGGGAUGCUCAGCAUCUGCACAGGGUCGUUCCUUGACUUCCUCUAAUACGGUGGACUGCGUUGUUUUUCUUUCUUUCUUUUUUUUUUUUGGUACCGGGGAUUGGACUGCAUUUUUAAGAAGUUAUUGAGAAUGUAAUUGAGUUUCUUCUAGCUUCUCAUCCCUUCAGGGCUGCUGCCAACCUGGGAAUGUCCUGUCAGCUCGUUUGUGUAUCCUUGUGUCCUUCAGUGAGCCCUCCACUCACCCUAUGUGCAUUCUUCUAGGGACAUGAUAUUUCAACUCAAAAGGCAGCUUUUAAAGGGGAUAUAUUUACUCUGUGCUGCCACUAUGGAAAUCAGUACAGAGGUUCCACAAAAAACUAAAAACAGAGGGGCUGGAGAUUUAGCUCAGUGGUUCCGCCGCCUGC